GACGAACGCUGGCGGCGUGCUUAACACAUGCAAGUCGAACGGAGAUGCUCCAGCUUGCUGGAGCGGACCAGUGGCGAACGGGUGAGUAACACGCGAGCAACCCCCCCCAGACAGUGGGAUAAGCCCUGGAAACGGCGGCUAUUACUGGAUACGAAACUGGCCCGCACGGGCUUGAUUUGUAAAGUUCUUCGGUUUGGGAUGGUCUCGCGGCCUAUCAGCUUGUUGGUGAGGUAGUGGCUCACCAAGGCGACGACGGGUAGCCGGCCUGAGAGGUCGACCGGCCACCCUGGGACUGAGAGACGGCCCAGACGCCUACGGGAGGCAACAGUGGGGAAUAUUGCAGAGUGGCGGAACGCCUGAUACAGCGAUGCCGCGUGCGGGAUAACGGCCUACGGGUUGUAAACCUCUUUCAGAGGGGAUGAGGCGAUCGUGACGGUACCUGCAGAAGAAGCACCGGCUAACUACGUG
Molecule: ribosomal RNA, 468 nt
Filed under: uncultured bacterium
Lineage: Bacteria
Description: partial 16S ribosomal RNA
Rfam family: Bacterial small subunit ribosomal RNA
Source: RNAcentral